Molecule: ribosomal RNA, 119 nt
Filed under: Sinocyclocheilus rhinocerous
Lineage: Eukaryota; Metazoa; Chordata; Actinopteri; Cypriniformes; Cyprinidae
Source: RNAcentral
GCUUACGGUCAUACCACCCUGUCUGUGCUCGAUCUUGUCUGAUAUUGGAAGCUAAGCAGGGUCGGACCUGGUUAGUACUUGGAUGGGAGACCGCCUGGGAAUACCAGGUGCUGUAAGCU